This 334-nucleotide unclassified non-coding RNA is filed under the name uncultured Glomeraceae. Its description in RNAcentral is "sequence contains 18S rRNA gene". Lineage: Eukaryota; Fungi; Glomeromycota; Glomeromycetes; Glomerales; Glomeraceae. The record is from RNAcentral.
CCCAACUAUCCCUAUUAAUCAUUACGUCAAUCCUAGAAACCAACAAAAUAGGAUCAAACGUCCUAUUUCAUUAUUCCAUGCUAAUGUAUUCAAGCGUUAGCCUGCUUUAAACACUCUAAUUUUUUCAAAGUAACAGUCCUGUUUCCCUGCAACACCAAAUUAAUGACAUUACAGUUCUUCAAGAAGGAGGAACCAGUAAAGCCAGUACAUACCAGAGGCACGACCAACUUACUAAUCCCGAAAUUCAACUACGAGCUUUUUAACUGCAACAACUUUAAUAUACGCUAUUGGAGCUGGAAUUACCGCGGCUGCUGGCACCAGACUUGCCCUCCAA